CGCGAAACCUUUACACUGCACGCCAGUGCGAUAAGGGGACUCCAAGUGCGAGGGCAUAUCGUCCUCGCUUUUGUGUACCGUAAGGUGGUACACGAAUAAGGGCUGGGCAAGACCGGUGCCAGCCGCCGCGGUAAUACCGGCAGCCCAAGUGAUGACUGCUCUUAUUGGGCCUAAAGCGUCCGUAGCUGGCCGUUCAAGUCCAUCGGGAAAUCCGCGCGCCCAACGCGCGGGCGUCCGGUGGAAACUGUUCGGCUUGGGACCGGAAGACCUGAGGGGUACGUCUGGGGUAGGAGUGAAAUCCCGUAAUCCUGGACGGACCACCGGUGGCGAAAGCGCCUCAGGAGGACGGAUCCGACGGUGAGGGACGAAAGCUCGGGUCACGAACCGGAUUAGAUACCCGGGUAGUCCGAGCUGUAAACGAUGUCUGCUAGGUGUGACACAGGCUACGAGCCUGUGUUGUGCCGUAGGGAAGCCGUGAAGCAGACCGCCUAGGAAGUACGUCCGCAAGGAUGAAACUUAAAGGAAUUGGCGGGGGAGCACUACAACC
This 547-nucleotide ribosomal RNA is filed under the name uncultured haloarchaeon. Its description in RNAcentral is "bacterial SSU rRNA". It matches the Rfam family "Archaeal small subunit ribosomal RNA", at positions 340 to 886 of the family's 1478-position model. Lineage: Archaea; Methanobacteriati; Methanobacteriota; Halobacteria; Halobacteriales; Halobacteriaceae. The record is from RNAcentral.